GACGAACGCUGGCGGCGUGCUUAACACAUGCAAGUCGAACGGUAAAGGCGGGAGUUUGUUCCCUCCGGGUCUGUGGCACGCGGGUGAGAAACACGUGUGAAAUCCCCCCCAAUUUCUGGUAUAAUCGUUGAAAAGGAGCUCAAACCCCGUAUACGCCCCGGCAGCGCAUCCUCUCUCGGUGGAAAGCACUUCGGUUGGGGAUGCGCUCGCGGCCUAUCAGUUUGUUGGUGGGGUAACGGCUCACCAAGGCGACGACGGGUAGCCGGCCUGAGAGGGUGACCGGCCACACUGGGACUGAGACACGGCCCAGACUCCUACGGGAGGCAGCAGUGGGGAAUAUUGCACAAUGGGCGCAAGCCUGAUGCAGCAACGCCGCGUGAGGGACGACGGCCUUCGGGUUGUAAACCUCUUUUAGCAGGGAAGAAGCGAAAGUGACGGUACCUGCAGAAAAAGCACCGGCUAACUACGUG
RNAcentral lists this ribosomal RNA (470 nucleotides) under uncultured bacterium. Its description in RNAcentral is "partial 16S ribosomal RNA". It matches the Rfam family "Bacterial small subunit ribosomal RNA", at positions 28 to 507 of the family's 1533-position model. The record is from RNAcentral.